UACGUAGGUCCCGAGCGUUGUCCGGAUUUAUUGGGCGUAAAGCGAGCGCAGGUGGUUUAUUAAGUCUGGUGUAAAAGGCAGUGGCUCAACCAUUGUAUGCAUUGGAAACUGGUAGACUUGAGAGCAGGAGAGGAGAGUGGGAUUCCAUGUGUAGCGGUGAAAUGCGUAGAUAUAUGGAGAAACACCGGUGGCGAAAGCGGCUCUCUGGCCUGUAACUGACACUGAGGCUCGAAAGCGUGGGGAGCAAACGGG
This 252-nucleotide ribosomal RNA is filed under the name uncultured bacterium. Its description in RNAcentral is "partial 16S ribosomal RNA". It matches the Rfam family "Bacterial small subunit ribosomal RNA", at positions 524 to 776 of the family's 1533-position model. The record is from RNAcentral.